UCCCUGGUGGUCCAAUGGUUAAGACUUUAUGCUUCUAAUGCAGGGGAUAUGAGUUCAAUCCUUGAUCAGGGAA
Molecule: transfer RNA, 73 nt
Filed under: Ovis aries (sheep)
Lineage: Eukaryota; Metazoa; Chordata; Mammalia; Artiodactyla; Bovidae
Rfam family: tRNA
About the family: Transfer RNA (tRNA) molecules are approximately 80 nucleotides in length. Their secondary structure includes four short double-helical elements and three loops (D, anti-codon, and T loops).
Source: Rfam by way of RNAcentral